AUUGAACGCUGGCGGCAGGCCUAACACAUGCAAGUCGAACGAGUGGCGGACGGGUGAGUAAUGUCUGGGAAACUGCCCGAUGGAGGGGGAUAACUACUGGAAACGGUAGCUAAUACCGCAUACCCUCGGAUGUGCCCAGUUGGGAUUAGCUAGUAGGUGGGGUAACGGCUCACCUAGGCGACGAUCCCUAGCUGGGCUGAGAGGAGGACCAGACACCCUGGAACUGAGACAGGGUCCAGACUCCUACGGGAGGCAGCAGUGGGGAAUAUUGCACAAUGGGCGAAAGCCUGAUGCAGCCAUGCCUCGUGUAUGAAGAAGGCCUUCGGGUUGUAAAGUACUUUCAGCGGGGAGGCGGUACUCGCAGAAGAAGCACCGGCUAACUCCGUGCCAGCCGCCGCGGUAAUAC
RNAcentral lists this ribosomal RNA (406 nucleotides) under uncultured bacterium. RNAcentral's name for it is "partial 16S ribosomal RNA". It matches the Rfam family "Bacterial small subunit ribosomal RNA", at positions 30 to 526 of the family's 1533-position model. The record is from RNAcentral.